This 270-nucleotide ribosomal RNA is filed under the name Hyalomma excavatum. RNAcentral's name for it is "partial large subunit ribosomal RNA". Lineage: Eukaryota; Metazoa; Arthropoda; Arachnida; Ixodida; Ixodidae. The record is from RNAcentral.
UAUUUUGACUAUACAAAGGUAUUGUAAUAAGAUUUUAAUUGAAUGCUAAAAGAAUGGAAAUUUAAAAAAAAACUUUUUUAAAAAUAAAAAUUGAAUUUUUUUUAAUUUGUGCAAAAACAAUUAUUAUUAUUAAAGACAAGAAGACCCUAAGAAUUUAUGAUUUUGUAAUUAAAAUUUUUUUUUAAAAAAUCUUGAUUGGGGCGAUCAAAAAAUAUUAAUAACUUUUUAAAUUUAAAUUGAUCUAUUAUUAAUAAACUAAUGAAUUAAAUA